Molecule: small RNA, 579 nt
Filed under: Pongo abelii (Sumatran orangutan)
Lineage: Eukaryota; Metazoa; Chordata; Mammalia; Primates; Hominidae
Description: retained intron
Source: RNAcentral
GACACUGUCCCAGCUGCCACCUAGACUCGGAGCUCCAUCCAAACCUCCAGCAAAGACAUCCCAGCCAUGGCCAUGCAGAAAAUCUUUGCCCGGGAAAUCUUGGACUCCAGGGGCAACCCCACAGUGGAGGUGGACCUGCACACAGCCAAGGGUAACACAAGGCCCAUUGGAUAGGCUCGCCUCAGAAGACCCCAACUCUUUGGCCUUUGCCCCCCAAUUCUGUGCCAUAUCCUCUCCUUUCUCUCAGGUUCCCUUUCCCAGACUUCUUCCCAAGCCCCCUUCUUCCAACAUGGAACCAGAGCUGGAAGCUGGGAGAAGCAGGAGUCUGUCUCUGCACUGCCUCCCGUCCCUGAGCUCGGAGAGGACACCUCAGCCCUUUGAGGGGUAGAGAGACUCCCUGUGAGGUCCUUUUUUUUUUUUUUUUUUGAGAUGGAGUCUCGCUCUGUGGCCCGGGCUGGAGUGCAGUGGUGCAAUCUCAGCUCACUGCAACCUCUGCCUCCAGGGUUUAAGUGAUUCUUGUGCCUCAGCCUCCCAAGUAGCUGGGAUUACAGGCCUGUGCCAUCACGUCCAGCUACUUUU